UGAAACAAGGUAUGAACAACUAAGAGAGGAAAAAUAGGAAAACGCAACGCAAGAGCAUGCUAUUGAGCUAGUCCUUUUCCCUUGGUGGUCAAGAGUUGCCAUGGGCAACUCCAUGACCCUUCCAGGUCUGUGUGUGCAACAUGAUGGCUAACCAGAAUGCUGCAGGAGCACCAUGACAGCUGAAGCAGGGUGCUGUCAGGUCAUACCUGGAUGCAGCUGGUUCCCAUGGCAAUGGCUGUUAUGAAAAGGUGAGACAAGAGGAUAUGAGACAGGGCACAAGAAGAAUCCGGUGCAGUCCACUGCUUGUAUUGGUCAAUUCCAGGUGCACCACACUUCAAGUCCAAGCUGCCACAGAGCCUUUAAGAUGAUGACUGGCCCCAAGCUGUAAAAUAACAAUGCACAAAGGUGCUACAUACUGCAAAGCAAAGUAUCUACAACAACUGCAAUAGUCCACUCUGAUCAUUCUUCAACCUAAAGAUUUGCAACUCUCAUCAAAGCUCAACUGGUUGAAAGAUCCUGCCUCCUCACAGCAGUGCCUGAUGGACAGUAUGAAUUGAAAUACUAAAGGCACUUCUUCUUUCAGGAUAACUGAUUAAAUGAUCUGGCUGGUAAAGCAGGUCAUCACUUAAUUGUUGUGGCUUUGGCAAGAUGCCACCAAAGCAGGCCAUCAUGGUCAGCAGAGAUGUAAAGGCCCCCCAUAUUACAGAACACCCUUUGAUAUGCAGACUAAUUAACAGAAGACCUAAGCCAUUCAAGGGACUUCUAUACCAUAGGAUGUUAGGAGACGUCAAGAACACAAAUGAAACUAAGAUUUUCAUACAGGGUUCAGGUUUUGUUACUUCAGAUCUAUAAUCUAAAGUUCCGUAAUCAUCACAUCACUCCAAGAACAAAAUUUGAUAGGCAAAAUUCUCCAAACUCAUUUCAUGGAGAACCUUGAGGGUCCAGAAUAGGGCUUGAUGGCAAGCAGGAGCUCCCUGUCCCCUGUCUUCACCCAUGCAACCCCUAGCUCACUCAUUGUUUUCACUCUAAAUUUGUGAAGUAUAACAAUCUUUAAAUCUUAAAUAUUAAGACUUAAUCUUUAAAUAUUAAGAGAUUUGGGUUUCUGUAUCAACAAUCUUUAAAUAUUAAGAGAUUUGGGUUUCUGUAUCAACAAUCUUUAAAUAUUAAGAGAUUUUCCAAAGAUUAAUGACUUUCCUAGAGCUGGCCUACAAAUUCACCACCUCAACUGGAUGACUUUGGAAUAAAUUUCUAACUAACACCGCAAGUGAAUUAAAUAUUUUCUUCCUUUUUUAUGUAAUCUAAUACAUUUUUAAAACUUUAUAGGAUGUCCAGACACUUGUAGUUUAUCAUUCUAUGAUUCAAAAGAAUUUGGUAUAAUUGCAUUGAUAAGUUUACUGCCUUGGGCACUAAAGUAACCUAGAAUAUGGGAGAAAUAGCUUUUGGUGACAUGCAUCUAUUUAUAUCUUCAGCGUUUACUAAUUAAUUAAUUUGUUUAACAAAUACACAUUCAAUACCAUUAUAUGUUUGGCAUUGUCAUAGAUGUUAGAAAAUCAAAUAUAAAAAAGACAUAAUUUCUUCACAACACAUGGAAAUAAGAGUAUCUCUAGGAAUUGUCUCUAGUUGAAAUUGUUUUCUCCUACCCACCUCUAUGAUUCAUCAAUUUAGCUUUCCUUCACUGUAGUGACAGGUGUUUUAAUCUCACCUAACAAUAUGCCUGAUUAAGCUUCAACAUACACAGAGAGAGGCCUGAAACUCAUAGCUUAGCUAACAAAUAGAUAUACCUCAACCUUUGGUCUCUAUGUCUAAGUUUAUGUUGUUAGUAAUAGUUAUAAGAGCCACAGCGAUGGCACCAUGGUGUUACCUUCUCUGAAGGCUUUCCCAGCUUUCCUAGCAAAGCUCUUUUCUCUUCCCUCUGGUUAAAAAAUAAAUUUAAAAAAAUAAAGGUUUUUCCUUUAUUGUUAUUCUUAUGUGUCUGAUUUUAUCACAUUUAUUGUUUUGUUUUCUGAUUGUAUAAGUCAUACAUGCUCAUUUAGAAAACUUGGAAACUAUGGAAAAAGAGAAAUAAAAAAUAAAGUCCACUCUAA
Long non-coding RNA from Symphalangus syndactylus (siamang), 2084 nucleotides. RefSeq lists it as uncharacterized. Lineage: Eukaryota; Metazoa; Chordata; Mammalia; Primates; Hylobatidae. The record is from RefSeq and is a predicted model, not a curated record.